Molecule: ribosomal RNA, 445 nt
Filed under: uncultured bacterium
Lineage: Bacteria
Description: partial 16S ribosomal RNA
Rfam family: Bacterial small subunit ribosomal RNA
Source: RNAcentral
GUGAGGAAUAUUGGACAAUGGGCGCAAGCCUGAUCCAGCCAUGCCGAGUGCAGGAAGACGCAUCUAUGGUGUGUAAACUGCUUUUGUACGGGAAGAAACACUCCCUCGUGAGGGAGCUUGACGGUACCGUAAGAAUAAGGAUCGGCUAACUCCGUGCCAGCAGCCGCGGUAAUACGGAGGAUCCAAGCGUUAUCCGGAAUCAUUGGGUUUAAAGGGUCCGUAGGCGGUUUAAUAAGUCAGUGGUGAAAGCCUAUCGCUCAACGAUGGAACGGCCAUUGAUACUGUUAGACUUGAAUUACAAGGAAGUAACUAGAAUAUGUAGUGUAGCGGUGAAAUGCUUAGAUAUUACAUGGAAUACCAAUUGCGAAGGCAGGUUACUACUUGUGGAUUGACGCUGAUGGACGAAAGCGUGGGGAGCGAACAGGAUUAGAAACCCGAGUAGUCC